Molecule: small RNA, 727 nt
Filed under: Pongo abelii (Sumatran orangutan)
Lineage: Eukaryota; Metazoa; Chordata; Mammalia; Primates; Hominidae
Description: processed transcript
Source: RNAcentral
CUUAGUCAAGCUGGUGGAGGCAGCGGGAAUAGCAUCCCAGGGUCCAUGGGUCCAGGUGGAGGUGGCCAGGCACAUGGUGGUUUGGGUCAGUUGCCUUCCUCAGGAAUGGGUGGUGGGAGCUGUCCCAGGAAGGGUACAGGAGUGGUGCAGCCCUUGCCUGCAGCCCAAACAGUGACUGUGAGCCAGGGCAGCCAGACAGAGGCAGAAAGUGCAGCAGCCAAGAAGGCAGAAGCAGAUGGGAGUGGCCAGCAGAAUGUGGGCAUGAACCUGACACGGACAGCCACACCUGCGCCGAGCCAGACACUUAUUAGCUCAGCCACCUACACACAGAUCCAGCCCCAUUCACUGAUUCAGCAACAGCAACAGAUCCACCUCCAGCAGAAACAGGUGGUGAUCCAGCAGCAGAUUGCCAUCCACCACCAGCAGCAGUUCCAGCACCGGCAGUCCCAGCUCCUUCACACAGCUACACACCUCCAGUUGGCGCAGCAGCAGCAGCAGCAGCAACAGCAACAGCAGCAACAGCAGCAGCCGCAAGCCACCACCCUCACUGCCCCUCAGCCACCACAGCCCAGGUCCCUGCUGCCUUCUAUAUGCAGUCUGUGCACUUGCCGGGUAAACCCCAGACAUUGGCUGUCAAACGCAAGGCUGACUCUGAGGAGGAGAGAGAUGAUGUCUCCACAUUGGGUUCAAUGCUUCCUGCCAAGGCAUCUCCAGUAGCAGAAAGCCC